UACGUAGGGGGCAAGCGUUGUCCGGAUUUAUUGGGCGUAAAGAGCGUGUAGGCGGCCACACAGGUCUGCUGUGAAAACUCGAGGCUCAACCUCGAGCUGUCGGUGGAAACCGUGUGGCUAGAGUCCGGAAGAGGAGAGUGGAAUUCCCGGUGUAGCGGUGAAAUGCGCAGAUAUCGGGAAGAACACCCGUGGCGAAGGCGGCUCUCUGGGCCGGUCCUGACGCUGAGACGCGAAGGCGUGGGGAGCGAACGGG
Molecule: ribosomal RNA, 253 nt
Filed under: uncultured bacterium
Lineage: Bacteria
Description: partial 16S ribosomal RNA
Rfam family: Bacterial small subunit ribosomal RNA
Source: RNAcentral